RNAcentral lists this ribosomal RNA (1010 nucleotides) under uncultured archaeon. RNAcentral's name for it is "bacterial SSU rRNA". It matches the Rfam family "Archaeal small subunit ribosomal RNA", at positions 45 to 1054 of the family's 1478-position model. The record is from RNAcentral.
UAAGCCAUGCAAGUCAUAUGUUCCUCGUGAACAUGGCAUACUGCUCAGUAACACGUGGAUAACCUGCCCUUGGGUCUGGGAUAACCCCGGGAAACUGGGGAUAAUAUCGGAUAACGCAUAUGUGCUGGAAUGCUUUAUGCGUAAAACGGAUUCGUCCGCCCAAGGAUGGGUCUGCGGCCUAUCAGGUAGUAGUGGGUGUAAUGUACCUACUAGCCAACAACGGGUACGGGUUGUGAGAGCAAGAGCCCGGAGAUGGAUUCUGAGACAUGAAUCCAGGCCCUACGGGGCGCAGCAGGCGCGAAAACUUUACAAUGCGGGAAACCGUGAUAAGGGAACACCGAGUGCCAGCAUCAUAUGCUGGCUGUCCAGAUGUGUAAACUACAUCUGUUAGCAGGGGCCGGGCAAGACCGGUGCCAGCCGCCGCGGUAACACCGGCGGCCCGAGUGGUGACCGUUAUUAUUGGGUCUAAAGGGUCCGUAGCCGGUUUGGUCAGUCCUCCGGGAAAUCUGAUAGCUUAACUGUUAGGCUUUCGGGGGAUACUGCCAGGCUUGGAACCGGGAGAGGUAAGAGGUACUACAGGGGUAGGAGUGAAAUCUUGUAAUCCCUGUGAGACCACCUGUGGCGAAGGCGUCUUACCAGAACGGGUUCGACGGUGAGGGACGAAAGCUGGGGGCACGAACCGGAUUAGAUACCCGGGUAGUCCCAGCCGUAAACUAUGCUCGCUAGGUGUCAGGCAUGGCGCGACCGUGUCUGGUGCCGCAGGGAAGCCGUGAAGCGAGCCACCUGGGAAGUACGGCCGCAAGGCUGAAACUUAAAGGAAUUGGCGGGGGAGCACAACAACGGGUGGAGCCUGCGGUUUAAUUGGACUCAACGCCGGACAACUCACCGGGGACGACAGCAAUAUGUAGGCCAGGCUGAAGACCUUGCCUGAAUCGCUGAGAGGAGGUGCAUGGCCGUCGCCAGUUCGUACUGUGAAGCAUCCUGUUAAGUCAGGCAACGAGCGAGACCCA